GAUGAACGUUAGCGGCAGGCUUAAUACAUGCAAGUCGAGGGGCAGCACGGUUAGCAAUAACUGGUGGCGACCGGCGCACGGGUGCGUAACACGUAUACAAUCUACCUUAAACAGGGGGAUAGCCUUUCGAAAGAGAGAUUAAUACCCCGUAAUAAAUUGAACGGCAUCGUUUGAUUUUGAAAGCUCCGGCGGUUUGAGAUGAGUAUGCGUCUGAUUAGCUAGUUGGUGAGGUAACGGCUCACCAAGGCGACGAUCAGUAGGGGGAUCUGAGAGGACUAACCCCCACACUGGUACUGAGACACGGACCAGACUCCUACGGGAGGGCAGCAGUAAGGAAUAUGGUCAAUGAGGGCGAACUACCUGAACC
Molecule: ribosomal RNA, 367 nt
Filed under: uncultured bacterium
Lineage: Bacteria
Description: bacterial SSU rRNA
Rfam family: Bacterial small subunit ribosomal RNA
Source: RNAcentral